AGGAAGCAAAUAUAUAAUAUAAAUAAAUAAUAAAAUUGGAAUUGUAUAAGAUAAGUGAACAUUUAAGAUGAAGAAAAUGAGAGAAAUUAACAAAAAGAAAAGAAAGGCUACGCAUAUACAGAGCCUCGAUCCCUAGUGUUGUGCAUGGAAUUUCAGCACUUCAACCAUGGCACCUAUAGUCAUUUUGCGAUUUGGGUGCCACUUGUUCCUUAUAUAAAACUUUAUGCGUGCGACCGGGUGGCGUGCCACCCCCAAUUCCAUACAUAGAUCCGCCUCUGACUGCAUCUAUUAUCAAAAAAUAAGAUUCUAAACAUAUGCUUGCGCAAAAAUAAAAUAAAAAACAGCAUCUCAACAUAAGGCACCUCUGUUGCCCAAUUAUUUUUAUGACUGAUGUGUUGUAUCUUGUGCGUCCAACUGCGAUAUAGCUCCUGUAACGCCAAAAACUGGGUUUUUUCAUGGAUUAUUUUAAUUUUGCUUUGCAAAACUCUAUCAACCCAAUUUUCGUGUGCCCAAACUCCACUCUUUAUUCAUUAGCUCAUUAAAAGAUUAACUUCUUUUGAAGUGGAAGAAGAUGAAGUUAUUCCCUUUUAAUUUAUCUCAAUAGAAAAGAGUCUGUCAUUGGUUAAAAAUAUAUUCACUUUCUUCUCCAACACAAUUUAUGGGUAAAUUGGUAAAUUAAUGAACUUGGACGUGCCUGUCAGACCAUGUCCAUCGACGGUUAACUAAAAUAUCAAUAGCUUGAGCAUAGGCGGAUCCAGAAUUUAGGAGGAUGGGUGCACCACUACCCGACCACCGUUGAUUUGGUCCUCUAAAAUUCACACCCCUUUUUUACCUUACUACCUCUUUAAAAGAUAUAAAGUGAUUUUUAAGUUCAAAAGGGUUUUCAAACGGAAAGUGACAAAAGAUUGAGUUUUAAAAGAUUUUUCAGAGUCGGCAAUUGACAUUUGGUUUCGGCGUGCCAAGUUACUGUUUUAAAAAAAUGAAUUUUCCUCCUAAAACACAUUUAGAUUCCAAAAUUAGUUUGCACCGUAGAUUCCAAUUAAGGGGUUCUUUUGACUCGGGAAGAAGGUGUUAGGCAUUCCCCAAGUCAUGUAACUAGUACGGUUGCGUACAUGAUCAAAUUGGCUUUAAAGAGUACUCUAAUUAAGGUAAACACACAAAAGAAGAUAAACACAAAGAGGUUUAAGGUUGUCCCCGCCUAAUAAAAAAAAGGAAAGAAAAAUCCUAAACUAACCUACGCUCCUCCACGAUGCUCGCCACAUCCUCCAAAUACAUAUACUACGGGAUAUUCCCCGGAUAAAAUAAUAACUAAGAGACAACCUCUCACCUCGAAUAUAAUAAAGAAAAGGCCUAAAAUUUACCUACCCAUGCUCUUAAGGGCCUAAACAUGCUCCUGACGGCCCAAGCAAGUAAAGUGAAAUAAUUAACAGGAUAAAUUCAACUUUUCAUCCAAAUGUACAAAGCCGCGUAUUCAAAAGCAGCGAGAAUUCCAAUCGAUUUACUUAAUUAUGUUAAAUUAAUUCUUUGUCAUCAAAAUAGUAACUGUGAAUAGACAAGGUGGGUUGCUCUGAUGGUAAGCACCCUUCACUUUCAACCAAAAGGUUGUGAGUUCGAGUCAUCCCAAGAGCAAGGUGGGGAGUUCUUGGAGGGAAAGACGCCGAGGGUCUAUUGGAAACAGCCUCCCUACCCUAGGGUAGGGGUAAGGUCUGCAUAUACACUACUCUCCUUAGAUCCCACUAGUAGAAUUAUACUGGGUUGUUAUUAUUAUUGUUAUUGUUGAAGCCUUGAACAAUCAUCUCUUAAUGAAGAGUGAAACAUGGAAUCAAAACCUCACUUUAACCAUCAAAAACCCAUCCAAAACAUAUUUAAACUAAACAACGUACAAACAAUAAUCAUCAACAAAAAGCAAAUAUUACUAAGACAUUCAAAAACAGAGCAAUGAUAGAUUAACGAAAUAAUAAGAGCAUGAUGUUGUUUAGCAAAUAAGAAAUAGAAGGAAAUGAGAAAUCGACCUCAAACGAAUCUGAAGAUUAAUUGUGCGGCAGCUUUGAAACACAAGCGUCAGAAUCGCGGACAAGAUCUCCACUGGGAGGCCUCACCGGAAACCUCACCGAACUCCGACCGGAAUUUGAGUGAGAAAAUGAACCAGGAGACUAAAACCUUUAUCCACGACCUCGAACUCGGAAACGGACAGUCGAAAUCAACUCCGUCUCCGCAACACCAUAGAAAUCCAAAUCUUAAACCAUUUUUGUAGUGAGAGGAAACAGAAUUUUAUUUUGAUAAAUUUUAUACAAGAAAAUUAAAACCGAAAAUCAGAAGAGAAAUCCUCGAUUUUGUCCAAAACCCCUUCUGUCCGUUCUCACUCUGUUUUUCCGUUCUCACUCUGUUUUUCCGAUUGUCCCCUCUCGUUUCUCCACUGUUCUAUUCUGUUUCGUGCCCUACUCUGUUCAUUCUCCCUCUGUUUUCUCACGUCCCUCUCCCCCUCAUUUCUCCACUGUUCUAUUGUGUUCUGUGUACAACAACAACAAUAACAACUCAGUAAAAUUCCAUUAAUGGGGUCUGGGGAGGGUAGUGUAUACGCAGACCUUACCCCUACCCCGAAGAAGUAGAGAGGUUGUUUUCGAAAGACCCUCG
This 2634-nucleotide long non-coding RNA is filed under the name Nicotiana tabacum (common tobacco). RNAcentral's name for it is "long non-coding RNA (NTAB_LNC016165)". Lineage: Eukaryota; Viridiplantae; Streptophyta; Magnoliopsida; Solanales; Solanaceae. The record is from RNAcentral.